This 192-nucleotide ribosomal RNA is filed under the name Triticum aestivum (bread wheat). RNAcentral describes it as "partial small subunit ribosomal RNA". The record is from RNAcentral. Lineage: Eukaryota; Viridiplantae; Streptophyta; Magnoliopsida; Poales; Poaceae.
AUGGCAGUCUUCCAUGCUUUCUAUCAUCUCGCGGGAGGAGAUUUUGCUGCUCUGAAUCGCGCCAUGAUCAUCCUCCUACCAAAGAAAGACGGCGCAACAAAACUGUCUGAUUUCCGCCCAAUUAGUCUCAUCCACUCGGUGGCUAAACUGAUCGCAAAGGUGCUUUCAAUCAGACUCGGGGGUGUGCUUGAU